RNAcentral lists this transfer RNA (71 nucleotides) under Anguilla anguilla (European eel). RNAcentral's name for it is "tRNA-OTHER". The record is from RNAcentral. Lineage: Eukaryota; Metazoa; Chordata; Actinopteri; Anguilliformes; Anguillidae.
GUCUGUGGCCUAGUGGGUAAGGUCCUAGUCUUAGGAACAUUGGGUCUUGGGUUCAAGCCCAGCUAGGGACA